AUGUUUGGCACAACCUUCUGCCAGAUGGAAAACCGUCUGCUGAUGAGUCUUACGGCGCUUCUGCUCAUUGAUGCUGGACUAGGAAUUACAGAUCUAAACACAACCAACAACUCUGAAAACAACUCAGCUAAUGUAAGCAAAACAAUACCUACAACACUAAUGGUCCCACAGAUUACAUGUCCGAAAACUGUUGAAAGGAUCACUGAGACAGUAAUGGCCUGGCUGAAAGUAAAAGGAAAGAGUCCGUGUGAGGGUCGGGUGUAUGUCUAUUCCGCUACUCUCGGUGAAAAGCCUUUGUGCUGCUCAAGUCACAAAAGAACCAGCUUGUUGCGUGGACUGUGUAAGGACAUGCGGUGUGGAGACUUGAACUCUGUUACUAACUUUAAUGAAUACAAUUCUGGGAUUGAGCUCACAAGCAAUAUGACGUUGAACAUCACUCAGUGCUCAGGCCUGAGUAUAAGCUGCACAGGUAUGUCUGCAUACUCAUUUAAUAGGAAUCUGUGUUGGAAUGUUCCUCUUGAUAUUAUAUUUACUGUAAAAAAAAGAAGUCUGUAAAUAAGCAGUUUUGCGUAGGUUUGUGAUUUAUGUUUUUCUUCCCUGAUUUAUUUCUGCUUUUCAAUUGCAUUAUGAUAGCUUGAUCCUUCUUUCAUUAACUUUAAACCUUAAAAAUUUUAAAUAAGUGACUUUUAUGAAAACUUUUAAUAGUUUAAAGUCAUAUAUUGUCUGGGUAGGGGUUGUAUAUUAUGGCACAAAAAUCUUGUAAUAAACUACCAGUACAUUUUCUUUCAUUUUACAGACUUAUUUCUCCCUAUAUUACUUCUUAUACAUCGU
RNAcentral lists this long non-coding RNA (831 nucleotides) under Danio rerio (zebrafish). Its description in RNAcentral is "lncRNA (ENSDARG00000117392.1)". The record is from RNAcentral. Lineage: Eukaryota; Metazoa; Chordata; Actinopteri; Cypriniformes; Danionidae.